Molecule: long non-coding RNA, 375 nt
Organism: Cyprinus carpio (common carp)
Lineage: Eukaryota; Metazoa; Chordata; Actinopteri; Cypriniformes; Cyprinidae
Exons: 3
Source: RefSeq, a predicted model, not a curated record
GGCUUGCAUUUAAGAAACUUAUAGAUUAAAAUGAUGUGGUUUAGUGUAAAGUAUCAUAAGGAACUGUGUAGUUUUGGUGUCAGUAGUAUCAUUGCCCUCUUUUGUUUCAGAAAAUAACAUCCACGUUCACGACCUGCUCACGUUCCAGCAGAUAACUGUGGUGUCCAAAGCCAGAGGGGCCACUCUGUUUGCCUGUGACCUGCAGCAGUCCAGCUCAGGCGAGGCCAAACUGCGCAUGUGUGUUGCAGUCAAGAGGAAAAUUCAGCUGUAUUACUGGAAGGACAGAGAUUUCCAUGAAUUACAGGGGGAUGUCGCCGCUCCAGACAUUCCCAAGUCCAUGGCUUGGUGUGAGAACUCCAUAUGUGUGGGUUUCAA